RNAcentral lists this unclassified non-coding RNA (385 nucleotides) under soil metagenome. RNAcentral describes it as "partial contains 5.8S ribosomal RNA, internal transcribed spacer 2, and large subunit ribosomal RNA". The stretch from base 4 to 119 matches the Rfam family "5.8S ribosomal RNA", at positions 39 to 154 of the family's 154-position model. The record is from RNAcentral.
GAUAAGAACGCAGCGAAAUGCGAUAAGUAAUGUGAAUUGCAGAAUUCAGUGAAUCAUCGAAUCUUUGAACGCACCUUGCACCCUUUGGCAUUCCGAAGGGUAUGCUCGUUUGAGUGUCAUUGUACUCUCACACUCUCCGAUCCUAUGGAUUCGGGGAGCGGUGGACUUGGGUGUUGCUGCCUUUCCCUGUGGCUCACCUCAAAUGCGUCAGUGCACCUCUUGGUUGGACAUAGUACGGCGUGAUAAGUGUCUUCGCCGGCACCUCGCAAGAGGGUGGCCGAUCAGGAGCUCUGUGCUUCAAACCGUCUUCGGACAAUCUUUGACAACUUGACCUCAAAUCGAGUAGGACUACCCGCUGAACUUAAGCAUAUCAAUAAGCGGAGGA